This 468-nucleotide ribosomal RNA is filed under the name uncultured bacterium. RNAcentral describes it as "partial 16S ribosomal RNA". It matches the Rfam family "Bacterial small subunit ribosomal RNA", at positions 28 to 507 of the family's 1533-position model. The record is from RNAcentral.
GACGAACGCUGGCGGCGUGCUUAACACAUGCAAGUCGAACGGAAAGGCCCUGCUUUUGUGGGGUGCUCGAGUGGCGAACGGGUGAGUAACACGUGAGUAACCUGCCCUUGACUUUGGGAUAACUUCAGGAAACUGGGGCUAAUACCGGAUAGGAGCUCCUGCUGCAUGGGGGGGGUUGGAAAGUUUCGGCGGUUGGGGAUGGACUCGCGGCUUAUCAGCUUGUUGGUGGGGUAGUGGCUUACCAAGGCUUUGACGGGUAGCCGGCCUGGGAGGGUGACCGGCCACAUUGGGACUGCGAUACGGCCCAGACUCCUACGGGAGGCAGCAGUGGGGAAUAUUGCACAAUGGGCGGAAGCCUGAUGCAGCAACGCCGCGUGCGGUAUGACGGCCUUCGGGUUGUAAACCGCUUUCGCCUGUGACGAAGCGUGAGUGACGGUAAUGGGUACAGAAGCACCGGCUAACUACGUG